AGCGAACGUUAGCGGCGCGCCUAACACAUGCAAGUCGCACGAGAAACGGAGCAAUCCGCGGUACAGUGGCGCACGGGUGAGUAACACGUGGAUGACCUUCCCUGGAGUGGUGGAUAACCUGCCGAAAGGCGGGCUAAUACAGCAUGGGACCACGACGCUUUGGCGAUGUGGUGAAAGCGGGCCUCUAUAUAUAAGCUCGCGCUCCGGGACGGGUCCGCGUCCCAUCAGCUAGUUGGUGAGGUAACGGCUCACCAAGGCAACGACGGGUAGCUGGUCUGAGAGGAUGGCCAGCCACACUGGAACUGAGACACGGUCCAGACUCCUACGGGAGGCAGCAGUGGGGAAUCUUGCGCAAUGGGCGAAAGCCUGACGCAGCGACGCCGCGUGGGCGAAGGAGGCCUCGGUUGUAAGCCUGUGGGGAGAACGAACCGUACGGGGCGGAAGUACCCUCCGUCGCCUCGACGGUAC
Molecule: ribosomal RNA, 468 nt
Filed under: uncultured bacterium
Lineage: Bacteria
Description: bacterial SSU rRNA
Rfam family: Bacterial small subunit ribosomal RNA
Source: RNAcentral